This 1350-nucleotide ribosomal RNA is filed under the name uncultured bacterium. RNAcentral describes it as "partial 16S ribosomal RNA". It matches the Rfam family "Bacterial small subunit ribosomal RNA", at positions 38 to 1380 of the family's 1533-position model. The record is from RNAcentral.
AGCGACAGGCUUAACACAUGCAAGUCGAGGGGCAGCGGGGUAGUGCUUGCACUACUGCCGGCGACCGGCGCACGGGUGAGUAACACGUAUGGAACCUGCCCGCAGCAGGGGGAUAAGCGGAAGAAAUUCCGUCUAAUACCGCGUAACAACGUUGGGAGGCAUCUCCCGAUGUUUAAAGAUUUAUCGGCUGCGGAUGGCCAUGCGGCGCAUUAGCUAGUCGGCGGGGUAACGGCCCACCGAGGCGACGAUGCGUAGGGGUUCUGAGAGGAAGGUCCCCCACACUGGUACUGAGACACGGACCAGACUCCUACGGGAGGCAGCAGUGAGGAAUAUUGGUCAAUGGCCGAGAGGCUGAACCAGCCAAGUCGCGUGAGGGAAGACGGCCCUACGGGUUGUAAACCUCUUUUGUCGGGGAGCAAAGCGAACCACGUGUGGUUCAUUGAGAGUACCCGAAGAAAAAGCAUCGGCUAACUCCGUGCCAGCAGCCGCGGUAAUACGGAGGAUGCGAGCGUUAUCCGGAUUUAUUGGGUUUAAAGGGUGCGCAGGCGGAGGUGCAAGUCAGCGGUCAAAUUGCGGGGCUCAACCCCGUACUGCCGUUGAAACUGCAUCCCUUGAGUGCGCGAGAAGUAUGCGGAAUGCGUGGUGUAGCGGUGAAAUGCAUAGAUAUCACGCAGAACUCCGAUUGCGAAGGCAGCAUACCGGUGCGCAACUGACGCUCAUGCACGAAAGCGUGGGUAUCGAACAGGAUUAGAUACCCUGGUAGUCCACGCAGUAAACGAUGAACACUAACUGUUCGGCCAGAAUGAUGGCUGAGUGGUACAGCGAAAGCGUUAAGUGUUCCACCUGGGGAGUACGCCGGCAACGGUGAAACUCAAAGGAAUUGACGGGGGCCCGCACAAGCGGAGGAACAUGUGGUUUAAUUCGAUGAUACGCGAGGAACCUUACCCGGGCUCAAACGACACAGGAAUACUUUUGAAAGGAGGUAGCCCUACGGGGUCUGUGUCGAGGUGCUGCAUGGUUGUCGUCAGCUCGUGCCGUGAGGUGUCGGCUUAAGUGCCAUAACGAGCGCAACCCCUAUCGCCAGUUACCAUCAAGUAAAGUUGGGGACUCUGGCGAGACUGCCGGCGCAAGCUGAGAGGAAGGCGGGGAUGACGUCAAAUCAGCACGGCCCUUACGUCCGGGGCGACACACGUGUUACAAUGGCAGGUACAGAGAGAAGCCAGGUGGCGACACCGCGCGGAACUCGAAAGCCUGUCUCAGUUCGGAUCGGAGUCUGCAACCCGACUCCGUGAAGCUGGAUUCGCUAGUAAUCGCGCAUCAGCCAUGGCGCGGUGAAUACGUUCCCGGGCC